Molecule: long non-coding RNA, 522 nt
Filed under: Taeniopygia guttata (zebra finch)
Lineage: Eukaryota; Metazoa; Chordata; Aves; Passeriformes; Estrildidae
Description: lncRNA (ENSTGUG00000021069.1)
Source: RNAcentral
AUGGCUGUAGGAACCAGAGAACCUGUGUGCUGCAAUUCCCAGUUUUCUCACCUCUGUCCUUCAGCCAUCCGAUUCCAGCACUGUGCACAACACACAAUACUGGCAAGACUCUGGUCUGGAAAUCCAUCAGACUCAAGCCUGCUAGAGGUGUUUGAGAGCUGCCUGGUGCUGUGAUGUGUUGGUUUGGAAUUCCCGGGAGCACCUGAAGAAGGAAGGUGUUUAGAAGAAAAAUAGUGGUUAGUCCUUAAAGCAGAACUUCCCUCUCUUAAACAGCUGCUACUGGAGUAUUCAAACCAUGGGCAGAUGGAGGAGUGGGCAGCUGUGUGUUACAAUCCAGAGUACUCACCUCUGCAGAUGACAAUGGUUGCUUGCUGUAAGGAAGUCAGUAAUGCAUUUUAAGUGGCUUUUAGUGGAAGCUUUCUUGGUUUGUAUCUGCCGCUAUUAAAAAAGAACUUUGUUCAUGAUAGUCCUCUUGGUGUUGCCUUUUUAACCCACAAGUGUGCUUCACUAUUUUGUAGGGCU